Molecule: ribosomal RNA, 253 nt
Filed under: uncultured bacterium
Lineage: Bacteria
Description: partial 16S ribosomal RNA
Rfam family: Bacterial small subunit ribosomal RNA
Source: RNAcentral
UACGGAGGGGGCUAGCGUUGUUCGGAAUGACUGGGCGUAAAGCGCGCGUAGGCGGAUUGGCAAGUUGGGGGCGAAAUCCCGGGGCUCAACCUCGGAAUGGCCUUCAAGACUGCUGGUCUUGAGUUCGAGAGAGGUGAGUGGAAUUCCGAGUGUAGAGGUGAAAUUCGUAGAUAUUAGGAAGAACACCAGUGGCGAAGGCGGCUCACUGGCUCGGUACUGACGCUGAGGCGCGAAAGCGUGGGGAGCAAACAGG